This 468-nucleotide ribosomal RNA is filed under the name uncultured bacterium. RNAcentral describes it as "partial 16S ribosomal RNA". It matches the Rfam family "Bacterial small subunit ribosomal RNA", at positions 28 to 507 of the family's 1533-position model. The record is from RNAcentral.
GACGAACGCUGGCGGCGUGCUUAACACAUGCAAGUCGAACGGAAAGGCCCUGCUUUUGUGGGGUGCUCGAGUGGCGAACGGGUGAGUAACACAUGAGUAACCUGCCCUUGACUUUGGGAUAACUUCAGGAAACUGGGGCUAAUACCGGAUAGGAGCUCCUGCUGCAUGGUGGGGGUUGGAAAGUUUCGGCGGUUGGGGAUGGACUCGCGGCUUAUCAGCUUGUUGGUGGGGUAGUGGCUUACCAAGGCUUUGACGGGUAGCCGGCCUGAGAGGGUGACCGGCCACAUUGGGACUGAGAUACGGCCCAGACUCCUACGGGAGGCAGCAGUGGGGAAUAUUGCACAAUGGGCGGAAGCGUGAUGCAGCAACGCCGCGUGCGGGAUGACGGCCUUCGGGUUGUAAACCGCUUUCGCCUGUGACGAAGCGUGAGUGACGGUAAUGGGUAAAGAAGCACCGGCUAACUACGUG